GUGCAGGAUAGGUAGGAGACUUUGAAGUCGGAACGCUAGUUUCGAUUGAGUCACCCUUGAGAUACUACCUCUGUUGUAUGAACGUUCUAACUCUGAUCAGUUAUCCUGAUCGAAGACAGUGUCUGGCAGGCAGUUUGACUGGGGCGGUCGCCUCCUAAAAGAUAACGGAGGCGCUCAAAGGUUUGCUCAGAAUGGUUGGAAAUCAUUCGUAGCGUGUAAAGGCAUAAGCAAGCUUGACUGUGAGACUGACAAGUCGAGCAGGUACGAAAGUAGGACUUAGUGAUCCGGUGGUUCCGUAUGGAAGGGCCAUCGCUCAACGGACAAAAGCUACCCCGGGGAUAACAGGCUCAUCUCCCCCAAGAGUCCACAUCGACGGGGAGGUUUGGCACCUCGAUGUCGGCUCAUCGCAUCCUGGGGCUGUAGUCGGUCCCAAGGGUUGGGCUGUUCGCCCAUUAAAGCGGUACGCGAGCUGGGUUCAGAACGUCGUGAGACAGUUCGGUCCCUAUCCGUCGUGGGCGCAGGAAAUUUGAGAGGAUCUGUCCUUAGUACGAGAGGACCGGGAUGGACAUACCUCUGGUGUACCAGUUGUUCUGCCAAGAGCACCGCUGGGUAGCUACGUAUGGAUUAGAUAAUCGCUGAAAGCAUCUAAGUGAGAAACUAACCUCGAGAUGAGAUUUCCCAUUCGUCAGAAGUAAGACCCCUGAGAGACGAUCAGGUAGAUAGGCUAGAAGUGGAAGUGUAGUGA
RNAcentral lists this ribosomal RNA (745 nucleotides) under Oenococcus oeni. RNAcentral's name for it is "bacterial LSU rRNA". It matches the Rfam family "Bacterial large subunit ribosomal RNA", at positions 2136 to 2881 of the family's 2925-position model. Lineage: Bacteria; Bacillati; Bacillota; Bacilli; Lactobacillales; Lactobacillaceae. The record is from RNAcentral.